Molecule: RNA transcript, 4653 nt
Organism: Melopsittacus undulatus (budgerigar)
Lineage: Eukaryota; Metazoa; Chordata; Aves; Psittaciformes; Psittaculidae
Gene: FGF7
Gene name: fibroblast growth factor 7
Exons: 4
Source: RefSeq, a predicted model, not a curated record
GAACAACAGGCUCAACACAUGCACGCGCACGCAUAAGCACAUACACACCAUCGCUCCAGCGUGUUGAUUUAUGGAAACAAUUAUAAUUCUGGUGGAGUCUUUCUGAGCUGAGAAAGUUUGUAGCUACAGUAGAGUGUCUCAUGUUGCAAAAAGCAGACAACAGAAAUGGAGUACUUGUGUAUCCAGCUCUUAUCAACAGGAACAAUGCAAGCAGCAAAUUCAAGUAGUACAGAAGGUCACGACAACAAAGGUUUUUAUAACUUGUGUCUUUAAAGGAUAUUCUGACUGAAGAGUUAUUUAAGAAGCUGCUCUAUUUCACCACUAACUAUUAAGGAAUAACGAUCAGAAUUCUAGAAGAGGGAACAAUCUCAUUUAAGUGAAUCUGUAACUCGUAAAGACAGAAGGCAGGUCGGUGACCUAAGAGCAACAGUCUACUUGAGAUUUAAUUUUCAUUAUGUUGUUCAUGAACACCCAGAACACUGCACUAUAAUGCACAAAUGGAUACUGACAUGGAUCCUGCCAAUUUUGCUCUACAGAUCAUACUUUUACAUUAUCUUUCUAAUGGGCACUAUAUCUUUAGCUUGCAAUGACAUGACUCCAGAGCAAAUGGCUACAAAUGUGAACUGUUCCAGCCCUGAGCGACACACCAGAAGCUAUGAUUAUAUGGAAGGGGGGGAUGUAAGAGUGAGAAGACUUUUCUGUCGAACUCAGUGGUAUAUGAGGAUUGAUAAACGAGGCAAAGUAAAAGGGACAAGAGAAGCAAACAACAACUACAGUAUUCUAGAAAUCCGAACAGUGGCAGUUGGAAUAGUGGCAAUCAAAGGAGUGGAAAGUGAAUACUUUCUGGCAAUGAACAAGUCAGGAAGACUCUAUGGAAAGAAAGUAUGCAAUGAGGACUGCAACUUCAUAGAACUGAUUGAAGAAAACCAUUAUAACACAUAUGCUUCUGCAAAAUGGACACACAAAGGAAAGGAGAUGUUUGUACAUUAAACCACAAAGGGGUUCCCAUGAAAGGUAAAAAAAACUAAGAAAGAACACAGAGCAUCCCACUUUCUUCCUCUGGCAAUAUCCUAAUCACAAAUGAUCUAUACAAAAACUAGUUCCAGCAGGAAGAUUAUUUUUAAGAAGACUAUUUGACCUGUUACCAAGAGAGGCUGGAAUACUACUGAGAAACUGAACAAGCUGGACUUGCGCAUUUUAUCUUUAUUUUUAAAAGACUACAUGAAAAAGAUUUGAAAAUAUACACAAAACCAGAUUUACUAACUAAAAGUUGUAAAAAAUUCUAAAGAGUUGUACAAUCAUUAUCUUAGUCAUGUAACUGGGUAGCUUCAUAAAUAAUUUACCCUGAAGAAUAAGUCAUACUGAUAUCUGAUAAUAUUUUAUUAAAAAACCCUAUCUGCUUCUUAAAUAUGGCUGCUAUAAUAAUAAUAAGCAGAUGAUAAUGUUGUGUAAAAUAUGUCAGACUUUAAGGCUGCUGGAAUGAGUUGUCAGAUUAUCAAGUCAAUAGUAAAUGUGGAGGCUGAGCAGUAUUUUAAAUACUUCCCCAAGAAACUGAUAUCCUAUACAUAAACUAUAUGACCAGAAAAAAAAAUAUAAUCUUGUAAAUGUUUAUUGUUGUAUUCAGAUAAAAAGAGUUAGUUUGGAAAAAUUAUGUUUACUCUAACACAAAAUGUUCCUAUCUAUUAAUGAAAACAAAUACCUAAUGCUGCUCUAAAAGAUGUUUCAAAUAGUGUAUGUAAAAUAAGAAUAGGAUUAAAUAAUGUACUUCAUCUCACUUUUCACAAAUUAACAUUUUAUAUAACGAUGAAGCAAAAAUUCAGACAUAUUAAGGUUUUUUAUGUAACAUAUCCUAUCUUUUGUAUAAUUCCUGUUAGGGCAUACAGCUUUCAAUAUUGUUUUUCCAUUCUUAUACAUGCUUUUUCUGUUGUUACAGCAUUAAACUUUAUCUUAAGUUGUAUUUGAACUUUAUUGUUUUAAGUUAUUUAAAUGUUAUUUAUAAAAAAAAAAUCCUUAUUAAGAUGCAUCUGUUUCAUAUGCUUUUAAUUCUAAAGGAACAACAAAACAGUCUGGCUGAGAUGCAUGAAUUUGUUUCUGUGACCAGACACAAAGACUAGUACACAACCCUGCUGCCAACAUACAUUGGAGAGCAGACAAAAAUGACAGCCUGCAGCAAAUCACACAACAGACAUCUGAAAAGAAACAAUGCAAAAAUGUAAAAAAUCUUUGCCGCAUACUCUUGCUAAUCGAAUUACCAGCAGGCUCAGAGUUACAGCAGGUAAAAGAAGGUUACAGCUUGUCGUGGUUUCGACACAGUUCCAGCAGGUACUGGAACUAAUCCCUCAGAGGUAGAAGCUAUACUCACAGGGUAAAGAAAUACAUAAAAGCCUAUAUGACUAGUUUGAAACAUCAGCUAAAAUCAGUAUGACCUGAUGAAGAAAAGACAUCUCCAUUUUCUAGCUACUGAAGUGCUCAGCUAAGCCCUACACAACUAAUGGAUUAUAUAAUUUAAUUCUGCUCAGUUUGUCUGCAAUUUUUCUAGGUAUUAUGGUAACCAUGCACUUAAAGAUCACAAAAAAAGUAGCUAAACCAGCUGCUAGAUGCCUGAAAUGGAGCCAGGCUAAUUACUAACAGUCUAAAAUGCUUUACUUUUCAUUACAAUUGUCUAGAGUCAAUCAUUUUUUCUUACUUAAGAACCUUUUCUUGUAACAGAACUCACCGAAAAUGGGAAAAAAAUCUCUUUAUCAAUAAUUCUUAAAACCAAAACUUGUUUAACAAGUACUAUAACUUGGAAAUCAUUUAUGAUUUUUGACUUGCUAAUAUCAAACAUCAAAGUGAAGAUGUAAAUGGGUCUCUGCAGAAAAAAUUUGUCAAUACAGCUAUCUCAGUAAACAUUCACUGUGUUUUUUAUCUAUUAUGUGUUCACUGAAAGCAAUAGACUGUACUAUCAAAGAAACUGGUUUGCAAAUCACUGUCUGCACCUUUCUGUGAAUAUAUGAACACUGAAAGUUCACACUCAUAAUCAACAUUAACAUACUAGUGGAAGUUUCUAGAUCUACACUAGGUUAGUUGAAGCUUUGAAAUAAAAAAUAAAAGAACAAAAUAUCACUAAGAUUUGAAGUUUGAAUUCAAAUGUAAAUAUGCACAUUAAUACAUUAAUAUAUAUGCAAAAGGCACUUAAAAUGAAAUCCAGAGACAGAGAAGCUCUUCUAAAGAUCUUUUGGUUAUGUAAUUCAAGAAUAUAGGGAUAAAGCCAAACAAUCCUGAACCCCAGUUGUAGUUCACCCUUACUACUAUAUGCUUUAUCAAAUGGAGUGCUAAAUUACCAUCAUUAUCAGGCUUUAUGUUUUACAGCUCCCAUCUGAAAGUACCAGCACAGUAAGAUCAGAUCAACUCACUUGAGCAAUUUUUAAUGCAGCUUUAAUUUAGAAAAUCUCUUUGGAAAUACAAUAAAUGUAUUUUCAGCUGCCUCCAAAAUAACCUUUUCAGUGCUAAAAACAGAGAAUAAUAAUCAGAAAAUUUACAGUGGUGAUCUACAAUAGCAAGCUAUUAUAAGAUAAAAGAAAAAAGAAUCUAUUAGAUUUUAACAGGUAUUAUUCAAAUAGAUGUCAGAAAUCCUCACAAAAGCCUUCUGUACCAAUGGCAUCACAAUGCAAUCUUAACAUCAGUCAUGCAAUAUUCCAUCUGGGAGGAAAAUAUGUUCAUAUGAAACGAAACAGAUAUACCUGUCUGGUUACAACUCAUUAUUAGCCUUCAUGAUACUAAAGAUUCAAGAAAACCCAAAGUCAGCUAUAAAAGCCAUUCUCAAUUGUUAUUUCUUAGUUUUUCCUUCAGAUGCAUUGGCUUUCAUCUAGCUUUCUUCUUUGUUUACCACAGAUACUACAAAGCAUAGACUGUGGUUUAGAACUGAAAUACAAGCUCCUGUGGUUUAAAUAGCCAUUCUAUUUAGCCACCUUCAAUAACCAUUCACAUUUCCCAGAAACUGUUCCAUUACGCAGGCUCUUUAAAUUUAAUUAACAAGGUUCUACUUACUUAUCUUUUGUAUUAGUGCCGAUAAACACUCUGUGACACAGAAAUGAGCUAAUCUCAUCUGGGGAACCUCACACAAGACUGCAGAAUCUCCAUUCUUGUUGGUUUUCAAGUUCUGACUGGAAAAACUCCUGUGCAAAUUAGUCUAAAAUCAGUGUGGGCCCUACCUUGAGCAGGGGACUGGACAAGACACCCGCAGCACCCUUCCAACCCACAUGAGUCUGUAAUUCCAAGUUAUUUUUCUUAAAAAAACCAUUUAGAGUGCAGUUCAACCUCUUGAACAGCUACACAAAAAACAUUUUCCGUGUUAGGGGAGAACAACACAUUUGCCUCAUAGUUUAUAUAUAAUAGCUUGUGUGUCACUAAAGGUGUGCAAAAUGGUGUAAAUACAUUUCGUAACUCAAUAAAAAAUGACAAUUGGACAAUUUCCAUGACCUUUAAAAGACAUAUUAUACAAUAUGGUCUCACUUUUAAUUCUGUUGCAAGUACUUCAAAACGACUCUGUGCAUAGCAUCUGUAAUCAGAUUACUAAAUGAUUAAUUACCUGAGUAAUUAUUAAAAUACACUUGUCUGUGUUUUAAAUAAGAAAAUAUGUAUAUUUUUGAAUGAGCUGAACCAAAAUGUAAG